This 117-nucleotide ribosomal RNA is filed under the name Pogona vitticeps (central bearded dragon). The record is from RNAcentral. Lineage: Eukaryota; Metazoa; Chordata; Lepidosauria; Squamata; Agamidae.
CGAAGCCUUCAUAUCGCCUUGAAUACACCAGUUUAUGUCUGAUUUAGGAUGUUAAGUAGGGUUAGGCCUGGUUACUACUUGGAUGGGAGGACUCAAGAUAAUAUCCAGCUGGGGUGA